Molecule: ribosomal RNA, 531 nt
Filed under: Epicoccum nigrum
Lineage: Eukaryota; Fungi; Ascomycota; Dothideomycetes; Pleosporales; Didymellaceae
Description: eukaryotic LSU rRNA
Rfam family: 5.8S ribosomal RNA (bases 158-311)
Source: RNAcentral
GCGGAAGGAUCAUUACCUAGAGUUUGUAGACUUCGGUCUGCUACCUCUUACUAUGUCUUUUGAGUACCUUCGUUUCCUCGGCGGGUCCGCCCGCCGAUUGGACAACAUUCAAACCCUUUGCAGUUGCAAUCAGCGUCUGAAAAAACAUAAUAGUUACAACUUUCAACAACGGAUCUCUUGGUUCUGGCAUCGAUGAAGAACGCAGCGAAAUGCGAUAAGUAGUGUGAAUUGCAGAAUUCAGUGAAUCAUCGAAUCUUUGAACGCACAUUGCGCCCCUUGGUAUUCCAUGGGGCAUGCCUGUUCGAGCGUCAUUUGUACCUUCAAGCUCUGCUUGGUGUUGGGUGUUUGUCUCGCCUCCGCGUGUAGACUCGCCUUAAAACAAUUGGCAGCCGGCGUAUUGAUUUCGGAGCGCAGUACAUCUCGCGCUUUGCACUCAUAACGACGACGUCCAAAAGUACAUUUUUACACUCUUGACCUCGGAUCAGGUAGGGAUACCCGCUGAACUUAAGCAUAUCAAUAAGCGGAGGAAAA